UACGUAGGGGGCGAGCGUUAUCCGGAUUUACUGGGUGUAAAGGGAGCGUAGACGGCGUAUCAAGUCUGAUGUGAAAGGCAGGGGCUUAACCCUUGGACUGCAUUGGAAACUGGUAUGCUUGAGUGCCGGAGGGGUAAGCGGAAUUCCUAGUGUAGCGGUGAAAUGCGUAGAUAUUAGGAGGAACACCAGUGGCGAAGGCGGCUUACUGGACGGUAACUGACGUUGAGGCUCGAAAGCGUGGGGAGCAAACAGG
This 253-nucleotide ribosomal RNA is filed under the name Blautia faecis. RNAcentral describes it as "partial 16S ribosomal RNA". It matches the Rfam family "Bacterial small subunit ribosomal RNA", at positions 524 to 776 of the family's 1533-position model. The record is from RNAcentral. Lineage: Bacteria; Bacillati; Bacillota; Clostridia; Lachnospirales; Lachnospiraceae.